This 454-nucleotide ribosomal RNA is filed under the name uncultured organism. RNAcentral describes it as "partial 16S ribosomal RNA". It matches the Rfam family "Bacterial small subunit ribosomal RNA", at positions 330 to 800 of the family's 1533-position model. The record is from RNAcentral.
CGUACACUCCUGCGGGAGGCAGCAGUGGGGAAUAUUGGACAAUGGGCGCAAGCCUGAUCCAGCCAUGCCGCGUGAGUGAUGAAGGCCCUAGGGUUGUAAAGCUCUUUCACCGGUGAAGAUAAUGACGGUAACCGGAGAAGAAGCCCCGGCUAACUUCGUGCCAGCAGCCGCGGUAAUACGAAGGGGGCUAGCGUUGUUCGGAUUUACUGGGCGUAAAGCGCACGUAGGCGGACUAUUAAGUCAGGGGUGAAAUCCCGGGGCUCAACCCCGGAACUGCCUUUGAUACUGGUAGUCUUGAGUUCGAGAGAGGUGAGUGGAAUUCCGAGUGUAGAGGUGAAAUUCGUAGAUAUUCGGAGGAACACCAGUGGCGAAGGCGGCUCACUGGCUCGAUACUGACGCUGAGGUGCGAAAGCGUGGGGGGCAAACAGGAUUAGAAACCCCUGUAGUCCCAUGA